UGGAGGGAAAUGGAACCCGGCAGUCCUGGUGUCCCUCCCCAGAGACUCAGCCCGGUGACUGGCCGUGGGGCUGCAGCCUCCCUGUAUUACCAGAACUUUAAUCUCACACCCAAUUCAAAACAACCUCAUCUUCCCAGACACCUCUCAGCCUGGGCCUCCCAGGGUUGGGACCCUGCCGUGGAGAGACUGGUCAUGGCCGGUGUUCUGGAUGCUUCCUCUUCUGUGUUGUGCUUCUGCACCUGCUGGCCUCCGCCUCGCCUCUGCUGGCUUCCUUAGGGCUGGAGCGGAGCAAGGCGGGAGAGGCACGGGUGAAGACCUGCCAGGGUUGGUGCCCUCUGGGGGUGGUGCAUCCUUCCCCUCCCGGGACACUUGGGAGGGUUUCCUGGAGACACCCCGUGGCAGCUCCCCGGCUGGUCCUGCUUGCCAAACCCCUCAGCCCCUGGCUUUCUGCUGUCCCCACCCCCCAACAGACUCUCGGUGGAGUCAUCUCACUCUAAGCUGGCUCUCCAGGUGGAGGCCCUUUCAAUAUAACUUCCUGCUGGAGAGGAGGACCCACAUCCGGCCGGGAGAAGCCCACGUCUUCGCCCCGCACUCAUGGCGAUGGACAGAGGGGAGCCAGGUGGCACUUUUUGGGUCACCCUUAGGACAGCCUUCUGAGGUGACCCGCCAUGUCUCUGCAGUGUGUGGACCUGACCACCCUCUGUUCAGCUUUGUGACGGCAGGAGACAGUGUUCAAAUGCGGCCGCCAAUGAUUCUUCCCUUCCAAGAGUGCACAUGCCGCUCUUCCCGCCAGAAGGCGGAGUUUCUCCCCCUCCCGUCACACUGGGGCUGGCCUGCUUUGGGCCAUAGAGUGUGGAGGAGGUGACGCCAUGCUGGUGCCGGGCCUGGCCCUUGAGAGUCCCUUUCGCCCCCCUGGAACCCUGUCGCUGAGCUGUGAGGAGGUCCUGGCUGUGCUGCUGGAGAAGGAGGCUGUGCAGAGAGGCCGCGGGGGAUGAGGUGCCACAUGGACAGAGGGGCCCCGAGGCGGGAGAGCUCACGUGUGCCAGCCGACAGGCAGCCCAUGUGACGGGGGUCUUCUCAGGCCUUGCGCCCAUCACCAACUGAACGCGGCUGUGUGCGUGGUUUCAGCUGACUGACGCGGAGCAGAAGGCCAGCCCAGUCAACUGGAGACUCACGAGAAAUAGUAAAUCACUGUGGCUUUAAGACACUAAGUUCUGGAGCGUUCGUUACACAGCGAUAGUUCACUGAAACAGGAGCCUUUGCUGAACCGAGACACCAGGAGCCAGGAAACCAGGAAACUACGUCUCCCGUCAGAGUCUCACUCGCUGUGAAAAUGGCGUAUCUCAGAUAGGGGCUAUUCCUGCAACCUGGAUCCUGGAUCCCGCGAGUGGAGGAGAGAUGCAGAUGCUGUAGUUGCCACAGGCGACUGUAAUGUGAGUGGUAAAUGUCUGGCUGUUGUGAGAUGCUAAAAUUGAGGGGCUGUUUGUUACUGCAGCAUAGCAAGUGAAGACUGCCUGCUACAAAGAGGGAGGUCUGGAGGCAGGGAGACACGCUGAGAUGAUGGUGGAUUGGUCUAAGGCAGAAGAAGGGGAAAUGGAAGGUGGAGUGGAGAGGGCGUGGUGACUUACAGGCUAUGGGGCUGGACCAAGAGGGAGUUGUCAAGAAACUCCAGGAACCGUCCCCUGAUUGUGAGAUGCUCAACAGAGGGCAGCAGGUCAUCAGAAAAGGGGUGAGUGAAGAAUGCCCUAGAUCAGCCAGAAGCGUCCGCACGGAGGGGGCAUCCGGUGGAGGGGUCUUGGAAGGUGGGGCUGCGUUAAAUGAUCUACUGCCAGAGGGGCUCAGCCCUGGGGGCCACUGACCUGGCUCAGGAUGAAGUGCUUGGGAAUUCAUUCAUUCAUCCAUCAUUUAUUCAUUCAACCAACCAGCAUUUAUGGAGUACUUACUGUGUGCUAGGCACUUUCCUAACAUUGGAAAUAUAGGACUGAACAAAACAAAGAUGUCACCCUCAGGGAGUUUAAAGUUUCGUGGAUGGAGAGAGGCAAUAAACAAGGAACUCACACUGGGAUCUCCCCUCAACUCCUGCCCACCCCCUGCUCCACCUCGGAGGCUCUUUCUCCACCAUUCUCUGCCGGGACCUCUGCUGGAACCUUCUUGGCACCACUCACAGCCUUACCUGGGGACUGUGUUCUGAGUUUGGCUGACGGGUUGAAACUCCUUCCCCACCCCCGCCCGGCCCAUCUCUGUGUGUCGGCCUCGGCAGUCCCAUCCUGUGUGGACGCUGGCCCUUCACAUGUGGAUGGAGGUGUCACUAAACAAAGGCCACCUUGAGGAGCAUCCAGAGACUGCCAGGCCUCUGCAAGCUGCACCUUCGGGCACCAGGGCCUGGUGUGUCCUCAAGAUCUGAAGAUUCUUCACGCUUCUGCUGACACCCUCCAGGAUGGAGGCCAUAAAACAGAGUCAGGGGACAUCAGAUUCCCUUCCCGGGGUGGUAAGUGCAGCAGAACAGAAACCCUCCUAGUGACGGAAAACGCAGUUUCAUUUUUAUUGUUGAAAAAUGUACGCAAAAUUUCCAUGAUACAAGACACUUGUUAUUAGCCAGUAACUUUUAUUAUGAGGCUUUUAUUUUCCUCGAAAAGUAAAAAUCAAUAAGAGUGUUUUCCAAGGUUGGGCGAAGACUGGUCAGACAGAGGCCAAGGGGAGAUUUGUCGCUGGAGUUGGUCUCUGGCUGAGCACAUUGAGGGGACUCCUGGGCUGCCUUCCUUGUUGUGGUCACCACAGACCCUGGGUACGUGUCCACUGAUGGGCUGCGGGGCCUUGGGCAAUUCCACUCCCUGCUCUGGGCCUCGGUUUCCUCUCCUGUAAGAAAAGGGCCUCCUGGAAACGGGCACAAUCAGACGUUGCUGGUGUCAGAAUUGCCACAGCCGCUUUCGAGGGCUACUCGGCGACGAUAUCCAGCAGAACGGCAGAGGCAGCCUAACCCGAGACCCAGCGGUUCCACGUCGAGGUUUCUACCCUGGGAAAGGCUGGCGUGUGCAAGGAUAUUCACUACAGCCUCAACUGCAGUGAGAAACAAAUGAAACAACCUAAAUUUCAGACUAUGAGGGGGGAGAGUGAGUCAAAUGUAGUAUGUUCGCAUAAUGAGAUUAAAAGCAAUGAAGAGGAAUGAGCCAGGUUCACGCAGCGAUGUGGACAAAGCUGAAGGUCAUCACUGAAUGAGCGAGUUGCAGAAAACCUUGAAGAAUGGUUUGCGGGAUAUUCCACCCCUUACGCGAGUCAGCACAUACACAGCGAUACUACAGGUCAUCACGGAUUCCCGCGUCUACACAAACGUUUAAGAAGUGAGCGGGAAGGGACACCUCCAAUUCGUGACAGCGGCUGUCUUGACAGGAGGAAAGGAAAUGGAACCGGGAAAGAGGGAAAAAGGG
Long non-coding RNA from Equus caballus (horse), 3425 nucleotides. The record is from Ensembl. NCBI's taxonomy places the organism in Eukaryota, Metazoa, Chordata, Mammalia, Perissodactyla, Equidae.